This 413-nucleotide ribosomal RNA is filed under the name uncultured bacterium. RNAcentral's name for it is "bacterial SSU rRNA". It matches the Rfam family "Bacterial small subunit ribosomal RNA", at positions 505 to 916 of the family's 1533-position model. The record is from RNAcentral.
GUGUCAGCAGCCGCGGUAAUACGUAGGGUGCAAGCGUUAUCCGGAUUUAUUGGGCGUAAAGAGCUCGUAGGCGGUUCGUCGCGUCUGGUGUGAAAGUCCAUCGCUUAACGGUGGAUCGGCGCCGGGUACGGGCGGACUGGAGUGCGGUAGGGGAGACUGGAAUUCCCGGUGUAACGGUGGAAUGUGUAGAUAUAUGGAAGAACACCAGUGGCGAAGGCGGCUCUCUGGUCUGUUACUGACGCUGAGGCUCGAAAGCAUGGGUAGCGAACAGGAUUAGAUACCCUGGUAGUCCAUGCCGUAAACGAUGAGUGCUAAGUGUUGGGAGGUUUCCGCCUCUCAGUGCUGCAGCUAACGCAUUAAGCACUCCGCCUGGGGAGUACGACCGCAAGGUUGAAACUUAAAUGAAUUGACGG